UACGUAGGGACCAAGCGUUGUUCGGAUUUACUGGGCGUAAAGGGUGCGUAGGCGGCGCGGUAAGUCGGGUGUGAAAUCUCGGAGCUUAACUCCGAAACUGCAUUCGAUACUGCCGUGCUUGAGGACUGGAGAGGAGACUGGAAUUUACGGUGUAGCGGUGAAAUGCGUAGAUAUCGUAAGGAAGACCAGUGGCGAAGGCGGGUCUCUGGACAGUUCCUGACGCUGAGGCACGAAGGCCAGGGGAGCAAACGGG
This 253-nucleotide ribosomal RNA is filed under the name uncultured bacterium. RNAcentral describes it as "partial 16S ribosomal RNA". It matches the Rfam family "Bacterial small subunit ribosomal RNA", at positions 524 to 776 of the family's 1533-position model. The record is from RNAcentral.